UACGGGGGGGGCAAGCGUUGUUCGGAAUUACUGGGCGUAAAGGGCCAGUAGGCGGCCAACUAAGUCCGACGUGAAAUCCCCAGGCUUAACCUGGGAACUGCGUCGGAUACUGGAUGGCUUGAAUUCGGGAGAGGGAUGCAGAAUUCCAGGUGUAGCGGUGAAAUGCGUAGAUAUCUGGAGGAAUACCGGUGGCGAAGGCGGCAUCCUGGACCGACAUUGACGCUGAACGACGAAAGCUAGGGGAGCAAACGGG
This 253-nucleotide ribosomal RNA is filed under the name uncultured bacterium. RNAcentral's name for it is "partial 16S ribosomal RNA". It matches the Rfam family "Bacterial small subunit ribosomal RNA", at positions 524 to 776 of the family's 1533-position model. The record is from RNAcentral.